Molecule: long non-coding RNA, 1683 nt
Organism: Cygnus olor (mute swan)
Lineage: Eukaryota; Metazoa; Chordata; Aves; Anseriformes; Anatidae
Exons: 6
Source: RefSeq, a predicted model, not a curated record
UAAUCAUAAGCAUUUGUGUCAGAUAACUUCCAUAAACUCUCAACAUACCUGGAACUUGGAUUAAAUUUCCACAAAGCACAUGCACUGUUGAAAUAAAUGAGGUUCACCGAAACGAGGGUCACGCUGAUCUUCAACUUGAGAGCAUUUUCUAAUGAACAUGUAAAAACACUGAAGAACAGACACCAGGCUAUAAAUACCGAUGAAGCACUCAGCAAAUGUGUUUGUGAAGACAUCACCUCAUUGUUCAUUCAGUAUUGAAUUUCCCCAUCACUUGCUGCCAGGACACAUAUGAUGAAACAGAUGCACAAAAUGAGGAAGGACUUGGCAUAAACAAGCGAAGUGUACUGCUCCGUCAUGGACAAAUAAACACCGGAUUUUCUAGAACUGUGUGACUGUGGAAAUAAUUUUGCAUCAAGUAGAACAGCCUGAACCUAUGUUAGAAAGAGCAGUAAGGAGAGUCAGCAUCCUAGGAAUAAGGAAUUGUCUUCUGGAGUCUGGAAGAAUUGAGUUCAAACGAACAUCUCUAAAGGUUCCCAUGUGCCAGACAGAGAUCAGCAGUAACACGGACUGACUGUUUCAUAUCACUAAACAGCACAGAGUGUGUCAUUUGGCCAGGUGAGGAUAUACAGUGACAGACCUUUUUUCCUUUCAGGUGUUGUUGUAGGCUCAAAAAUGGUCAGCAAUAAAAUAGAGGAAAAAUCAGUGAAUCACCAAGUCCCACAGAUGUAAUGGGUAACCUUCUGAGAAAGAAGAAAAAUAUAUUCCAAAGUGAUGAUUUUAUUCAAUUAAAAGCAUAGCUGAAAGCAAGCUGAAUCUGCUAAACACAUCGGAUAUAGAUUACAUUGCAAAAACGUACGAGUGAAGAGCCAUGAAUUGCACUGCCACUUAUGAAAAUAUUCAUCAUCUCAGGCUGGUGCCAGAAUAUGUGGAAUAGAGCACGUUAUUUCUGGUUUGCUUCUGCUGUCAAAUUGGUGACAAGACCAUUAUCUCUAAGAUUCUGUUGGAAUAAGGACUGGGUAUAACUUGAUUAACCAAGAUGGAUACUGAUAGCUAGGAUAAAGUUCUUAAGAAGAAACUGACCCUGAGAAUCACAAAGGACAAUAGAUAAUAUUUGAUGCAAGCUUGUGCAGAAUGGAGUAGAAAACAGAGUGGAAUAGCAUCAUUUAGGAACAGAGGCAGAGAAGCCCAGCUCCUUGUGCAUGUAAUUGUGGAUGAGUUUCUACUGAGUAGGAAGGCAGAAGGGUGCAUGUGUGCAGUGUAGGCAUAACUCAUGUCCAUAACCAUAUCUGGCUUGAGUCCUGCUCAUACCUAGCCUUGGAGAGGACCUGAGGAGCUGACCUGAGUAAAAGGGAUGUGUCAGAAAAAAGAAAAAAAAAUUUAAACUAUUAAUGAAUAAACCAGAAAGAAGAAAAUGUGGGCAGUCUUUGGUUACUUGAAGUUUUGGAGUGCUUUUUGUAGCCUGGAAGGACAUAUGUUAUAAAUAACUGGCACACCAAGAAGAAAAAUUAAGGGGGGGGGGGGGGUGGAAUGUUAAGUGUUUUGACAUUUCAAUGCCUGAAGACUCUGCUGUGGAUAGCUCUUCAAGAGAGAUAAUAAACUUGAAUUUUGCUAAUGAAAUAAAACAAAAUGUAAUAAAGGAUAUGAGUAUUGCAGCCCUUCCUGUGUGUAAGUUAACUUGGAGAA